CGACCAAUACGGAGAGGUGCGAAUUCAACCGGUUCUCUCCAAGAUUUUUCAUCCUGGGCUGUUCCAUCUCUGCAGCUGCUCAGCUACGUGUUCAGUAGCGUUUCAGCACUCUCGCCUACAGUCUUCCGACCUGACCCGGGAGCUAAACCAAUCACAGGCCAGGCCUAAGCAGAAUGGCCCCGCCCACUCUCUUUCGGAUCCCUUUUUAUGCCGCGGGAAAGACGUGGCCGUGUUGGGAAGGUUGGGGCUUCGGGACAGAGAAAUGGGGAGCGUUUGCAGACAGGAUGCCGGUUCAGCGUUGGAGAGAGUGGGGAUUAGGAGGCUAGAGCUGUAGCUGAAGGAGCAGAGGUGUUACGAGGAGAGCACUCUGGAUGUACUUCGUGACGCGAGACCGUGAGGGGGUGAGGACCGGGGCAGAUGUGUUUUAUGGAGCAGACACUGGCAACCACAGUCCCCGCCAGGAGUAUCACUUCUGUCUCACGGUACAAGCCCACAGGACCCUGCCCCUGUUUGCGCUGCCAGAGGAGCCUGACGUCUGACUGGGGCCGGGGCACCCGGCUCCCUCAGUGAUGACAGCUGGGCAGCGUCUGGAGGCCUGGCCCUGAGGGCGCCGCCAACUGAGAUCCACCUCUUCAGCCAGGCCUGGGCACUGCGGGAGCAUCUAGUCUGGGUGCUGGACCAGCGCUCCUGGGCAGGGUAAGCGGCCUGCGCAGGGACCCCCUCCUCUUAGCCCGGGCCUGGACCUCUGAAAGCUGAGCCUUGGGACCUUGCCCUUUCUUGUCAGGACAGAGAAUAACAUUUGUUUUGGUGGAGGUUUCCAGGAACGUCGUGACCUGACCUCAAGAACAAGGGAUCUGAUAGCAAGAAGUGUGCAACAAUUAACCACACCCCUCCCUCACCUUUCCUGUAAAAAGGCUUUGCUGAAAGCUUUCAGGGAGUUCAGGGUUUUUAUGGCAUGAACCAUUGGUCUCUUUGCCUGGCCCUGCAAUAAACCUUUCUCUGCUCCAA
Long non-coding RNA from Balaenoptera ricei (Rice's whale), 1008 nucleotides. RefSeq lists it as uncharacterized. The transcript has 2 exons. NCBI's taxonomy places the organism in Eukaryota, Metazoa, Chordata, Mammalia, Artiodactyla, Balaenopteridae. The record is from RefSeq and is a predicted model, not a curated record.